RNAcentral lists this ribosomal RNA (176 nucleotides) under Kyphosus sectatrix (Bermuda sea chub). RNAcentral's name for it is "partial small subunit ribosomal RNA". Lineage: Eukaryota; Metazoa; Chordata; Actinopteri; Centrarchiformes; Kyphosidae. The record is from RNAcentral.
GGUUAUACGAGAGGCCCAAGUUGAUAGACUCCGGCGUAAAGAGUGGUUAAGACUCAUCUACAAAACUAAAGCCGAACGCCCUCAGGGCUGUUAUACGCUCCCGAAGGUAAGAAGUUCAAUCACGAAAGUGGCUUUAUAUCAGCUGAAUCCACGAAAGCUAUGACACAAACUGGGAU